UUUAAGAUGAAAGUCAUUCUCUGUACCCGGGACCAGCCCAGCUUGAGAAUCGGGGGCCCGUGCCUCUCGAAUUGUAGUCUGGAGAAGCGUCCUCAGCGACGGACCGGGCCCAAGUCCCCUGGAAAGGGGCGCCGGGGAGGGUGAGAGCCCCGUCCGGCCCGGACCCUGCCGCACCACGAGGCGCUGUCGGCGAGUCGGGUUGUUUGGGAGUGCAGCCCCAAUCGGGCGGUAAAUUCCGUCCAAGGCUAAAUACCGGCGAGAGACCGAUAGCGAACAAGUACCGCGAGGGAAAGAUGAAAAGGACUUUGAAAAGAGAGUCAAAGAGUGCUUGAAAUUGCCGG
Molecule: ribosomal RNA, 341 nt
Filed under: Vibrio anguillarum
Lineage: Bacteria; Pseudomonadati; Pseudomonadota; Gammaproteobacteria; Vibrionales; Vibrionaceae
Description: partial 23S ribosomal RNA
Rfam family: Eukaryotic large subunit ribosomal RNA
Source: RNAcentral